GGGUGAACAGGAAAGAAGGGUUUGAAUGAAAGAGUCUGAGGCAGGAGAAAGUGGAGACAGCAGCAAGAGGACUGAGGAAAGAAAGGAGAAAGGAAGGAACCUGUGCAUCGCGAGGCAGAGGAUUUCAUAAAGUAAGAGAUUCAAGAUAAAAUGCUCAACACCCUCCAAGCCUCAGAGUCCAAGAGAGGAGUUGUAUUUUUCCCAGCGGGCACCUGAAGAAAUGGAUAUUAUUAUCCCCAUACUACAGAUGAGAAAAGUGAGACUUACUGAGAUGAAGCAGCCUGCACACUGUCACAUGAAGGAGUUGUAGAGACCUGUAUUAGUCCAUUUUCAUACUGC
This 339-nucleotide long non-coding RNA is filed under the name Homo sapiens (human). RNAcentral describes it as "HSALNT0359128". Lineage: Eukaryota; Metazoa; Chordata; Mammalia; Primates; Hominidae. The record is from RNAcentral.